Carica papaya (papaya) is the source of this 544-nucleotide non-coding RNA. The record is from RefSeq and is a predicted model, not a curated record. Lineage: Eukaryota; Viridiplantae; Streptophyta; Magnoliopsida; Brassicales; Caricaceae.
AUAUCAGAAAGAGGUAAGGAAGAAGAUGAUAGAAAACAAAUUAAACUGUCCUCUUUCUACCAUUCUAUUUCUUUUUCAGUUUAUUGGGAGUAAAGAGCCAAAUAGAGAAAGAAAAGAAGAGCAAAGAAAGAGGGAAGAAGAAGAUCGAAAGAAGAGAUAUGUCUUUCUCUUCAAAGACCCAACGGUAGCCGGAGUAUGAUGAGAUGUUCCCUUCACUAUUCAGUGAUCAUCCUAAUAUAUUUCCUCCACACCUGUCGACAUGGGCUAGUGAACUUUGGCACUGAAAUAGCAUGAAAGUUUUCAGAUGGAGCUUAAAAAGAAGAUCUAUGGUUCGAUUUGAUGGCAAAUACUGGUGAUGGCGGGAACUCAUCUUCUUCAGUUGCAGGAGUACUUGGUCAGCAGUUUCUUUUAUUUCUUCAAUGUUUCUAACAAGGUUGCAUUUACUGAAUUGGUAAUUAGGAUAUUGGAGCUAGAUCAUAUGGUGGUUUGGUACUAUGAACUUUUGUGUUUUAUGAGGUAUCUCUUUCUUUUUGUAUUUUUCAUU